Vespa mandarinia (Asian giant hornet) is the source of this 4855-nucleotide long non-coding RNA. NCBI's taxonomy places the organism in Eukaryota, Metazoa, Arthropoda, Insecta, Hymenoptera, Vespidae. The record is from RefSeq and is a predicted model, not a curated record.
UAUAUCGUCGAAAUAAUUAAUCCUAUAUAACGUCAUGCAACUUUAAAGUCACGCAUAUAUAUAUAUACAUAUAUAUAUGUGAAUUUGUAAUUUGAUUUCAUAUUAAUAUAAGUUACACUUAUUUCAGUAUAAUUAUAUUAAAAUAAGUAAUACUAUAACUUUAUAGCAUUAUAUAAUUUUUUUUGUGUAAACAAAAAAAGAACUGAAUUAUAGACAAUUAAUAUUAUAUUAUUUUGCCACGGAAGAAAAGAUUAGUUUUUAAAAAAUACAUUCUAUUUCCAAUAAUCGAAAAAUAGAAAAUAUUAUUGCUAACGAAUUAGAAGUAAUGGUAAAGCGUAAAAAAUCAAUCGUUAGAGAAUGUCAAAGAUCGUAAAGGAAAUCAUGCUGGUUAGAUUUGUGAGUAUUACGUGCAAUCUAGAUUCGUCAGCCAUCGUUAAAGCAUAAUUUUUAUUUGGCUUACAUAAGUCUAUGGCUUAUUGUACUUAUAUUUCAAUGACGACGUACUUUUCUUAUCUUUGAAUUCGAAUCUCUUCUAUUUUACCUAAAGAGACGCCUUUUUUUUCUCAUUUUUUUUUUUUUUUUUUUUUUUUUUUUUUUUUUUUUUUUUUUUUUUUUUUUUUUUUUUUUUUUUUUGAAGGAAAGUAUGCUUGUAGGGAGGACCUAGCUAUCUACCUUUCUUCAGUAUUACAGAAUCCUUCUUGGGAUCCAGACAUAUAACUCACAAGUCUGAGAUAAAGAGAAAACGGGUGCUCUUUAAGAAAGUAAAAAAGAAAGAAGGAAGGAAAGAAAGAAAGAAAGAGAGAGAGAAAGAGAGAAAGAAAAAGAGAAGAAAAAAAGAAAAAGAAGACGACGACAAGUUCGUGACGAGAAACACUUUGUAGAAGAUGAAUUCCAAGAAAAUUUAAACUGGAUAUAAGGUACGAAUGGAAAAUCUUGAGAAAGGGAAAGUAAAGUGACGAGUUCUAUCGAUAUAACGAUAUUGACAUCAUCGCAAAAGUUAACAUUAUAAAUUUCAAGGUUUUACAAUUAUAAAAGAGCGUCUAUGAUUGACAUGGCCUUGAAUUCAAACACGAAGAUCAUUGAAGUUUGUACAUGUGCGUUGUCGAUGAGAACGAAUUAUUUUAAUCCAUAAAAAAAAAAGAAUUAUACUUCUAACAUGUUAUACUACAAACAUGUAUUUAUACUUCGUGACGUUAUGGCGUGUGUUCUAAGGAAAGAAGAAAAAAAAGAAAAAAAAGAAAAAAAAGAAAAAAAAAGGAAGAAAAAGAGAGAUUAUUACGAUCUAGUAAAAAGGUCGAUUUAAAAAUGAUCUAUCUUGGAUCGGAUUUAACGGAAGGCGGAGCGUAUACGGUAGGAAGAGCUCAAUUCUUCUUAACGAACCAUUCGCCUUUCACCGUGUUGCCGCCAUUUUCGAGUAUCUCAUGCUCUAUCACAUAUAACUCGUUUAAUACGAAGACAAAAUAUCCUUCAGGUAUUUAAAUUUAGUAAAUAUAUUUUUUUUCGCUAAAAAAAAAAAAUAAAAUAAAAUAAAAUAAAAUGAAACAACAAAAUAUUAUGAUUUCUUAAUUCUAUGCACAUGAGUAUUUGAAUGUAUAUAUUUUGCCGAUACAAGAAAAGCUGUUGUAAAAAAACAAAAAAAAAAUAAAAAAAAAUAAAAUAAAAGAAUAAAUAAAUAAAAAAGAAUAAAAAGGAAUACAAAAAAAAAAAUACAAAAAUAAAAAAAUACAAAAAUAAAAAAAUACAAAAAUAAAGAACAUGCUGAUAAGGCGCGAUUGGACUUGGAUCCGGCGGUUACAUACAUAUCUCUGAAAGGUUGCAAUUAAACGUCACUAUUGCUAUAUCAUUCUCUUCUUGUCUAGAAAUGUCGAUUGUAAGAAAUAAUCGAGAUAAAGAAAUCCAAAGAGAAAGAGAAUGAGAGAUAUAGAUUAGAAAGAAAAAAAAAAAAACAAGAGCAAUCACAUAUUUACUUGCAAGCAAAGUAAAGAUCUUUCUCUUAGAAAUAAAUAUAUUACAUAAUAUCUAUGGUACGCUGAUAAAGACUCGAGUAGAUUUCGUUUAACAUAAAGACGAUCGAGAUGAUAUUAAUGUGAUUGAAAAAAAAAAAACCGCAUAAAAAAAAAGAAAUAAAUAAAUAAAUGAAGUUAAAACAUAUUAAAGAUUACAUUGGAAUUUUAUCAUUCUCGUUAUCAUACAUAUUCUCCAUUCAAAAAAUUCUAAUCACGAACAGACGGUUUGUUCUUGUCUUGUCUUGUCUUGUCUUAGAUAAUUUUUAAUAUGUGACAUAUAUAAAAAGGACAUCGUUAAUAACUUAAGAAAAUCCUCGAAAAGAAAAUUUUUACGAAUGUAAUAAGACAUAUCAUCGAUAAUAAAACGUUCAACGAAUAUGAUUCAUAUUACGUCUAAUGAGAGUCAAAUCCGUCGCCAUAUUAUUAGAUUAGAACACUUUUGCGGUUAAUCUUACUCUGCAAGGAAGAUACCGCGAAAAAGAUAGAUAAAGGGUAACGACACUCAACGAUAUCUUUGGAAGCUGUAUAAUGAUGUAAAGCGACAGAGAUAAUACGUCAUCUGCAUAGGCCAAUUACGAGAUCGAUAAUUACAAGAUAUAUAAAUCAUUAACAUUUAUUCUUCUAACGUUUAGUUUUACGUGAUAUCUUGCAAAUAACAUUUCUGUUUCUUUAAGAGAGAAAAAAAAAAAAAAAAAAAAAAAAAAAGAAAAGAAAAUGAGAAAUAUUUUCAUCUAAAUAUCAGUGCGAUGAAUGCAACGACAAUAAUGAAUUGUCGACGAGAGAACAAUGUUUAAAUUACUUUUGACGGAUGUGGUCUACGUUCGAGGAAAUAACGGUUAGCCUUUUUGGAGAAAAAAAAAGAAAAAAAAAAAAUAUCCUUCAAAACUUACAAUAGUAAUAUGCGCGAAAAGAAAUACGAUAAAGUAAACGAGCGAAAACCAAUCGAUGACAAUAAUAUUAACAAUGAUUAUGUCGACGUAUAUCAAAAAUUCAUUUUAUCAAUGAAAUCCAAGGGAGUUCUUUACGUGCCUUCUACCAUCCCCCAUCCCUUUCCGUCAUCAUAAUUUUCGCUUAUGAAUUUAAAAAUUAAUUCUCUAUACUAUGACGCGAUAUAAAAGAAACUUAGAACGAACGGAUCCAUUAAAUGAAAAGAAAGAUUCAAAGAGAUAGAAAGAUGCCGAUGAAUUAAUGUACAUUUAUUUACGUGAACUUUGACUCCUUUGCUUCAGCCUGACCUCAGAAUAGACUGCUCGACUGUUUGUGUGUGUGUGUGUAUAAAUGUGUAUAUGUGUGUGUGUGUGUGUGUGUGUGUAAAUACAUCCAUUAAAUCUAAUACUUCUUUUUCUUUUUCAUGGAGAAAAUAUAAUACAUGUUAAAAACGAAAUAUAUUCUUUUUCUAUUAAAGCGCGAUGAGAAAACAAUUUUAAGAUUAUUGGGAUUUCUUAAUUGACAGGAGAAAGUGUGACGAUACUUAAGUUGAAAUAUUUUUUGAAAACUUUCGUUAGACUUUUAAAACGAUCAUUGUGACAGUAAUUAGAAAAUUUAGACAAGAUCUAAGGAGAAUCAAAGUUUCCUUAUUUUUCUACUUUUCUUUUCUGUAUUUUUUUUUCUUUUUUUUUUUUUUUUUUUUUCAUUAUCUAAUAGUAAAAUUUUUAUUAAUUUCUUGCUUUUAUCGUCUAACGAAAACUGUAUAUAUAUAUAUAUAUAUACAUAAAAAAAAAUGUUUCUCUCGGACGACCCGACAUCGUGCACUCUCACCUCUUCUUUACGUAAGAAUCAUUAUAAGAUACAACGUUCAUACGAGAACAUUUCUGACUGAGAAUGCGAUAAAGGUUUCGAACUUCACCUAAAUUCGGAAAUUUUCGUCUAAUAACUCGAUCAUUAUUUUUGCUUUAAUAUAUUAGUCGAAAGGAAGGAAUUUUACAUCGUUUGCAAAUAUAACGAUAAUGUAACUGGCUAGAUGAAAUAUAUGAAUUUCGAAAGAAUUUCAAACGAUUUCUUUAAAGAAAAGAUAUUUAUUUUCGAGAGAGAUUUUGAAAGGGGAAUGAAUGCUGGUAAACAGAUUCGGGUCGAAGUACGAAUUAGUGAGUCACAUAAUCGAGGAACUUGACGAACUUUAUGAAACGUACUUCGUACUAUUUGAUCUCAGUCUAUUUUCAUAAAAUAUCUAUUUUAAAUAGGAUGUAAAAAGGAGAUAAGAAAAUUGCCCUCUCGAGUUAAAUGAUCAUCGCAAAAGUCUAACGUAAUAUUUUAAAAAAUGACGAAGAAAAUAAUAAAAAAAAAAAAAAAAAAAAAAAGAAAAAAUAGCAAAAUUCAAUGAGGAAGGAGAUCACUUGCAUUUUAACGUCAAUCGUGACGAGCGAUUGAGUGACUCAAGGGACAAGUGACGCAGCGAACAAGUGUUUAAAUAGAAAUAAUGGCGACCCUGGACGAUCGUUCGAACCGAUAAAAUUCAAACGUAUUCCGAGACUACGACAGCGACGAAGGGGCGACGUUAUCACUCUGAUACUCAACGUAUAUACAUUCCCCGCGAGCAGCCCCCGGUCUCCAGUAACUCGCGGACCACCGGCCCAGUUCACGCAACACGCUUUCGGUAACACGAUGACACCGACAUCGAUUCGCGGUAUUAACUCCUCGUAAGAUCUUCCAAUCGAAAUAGAAGCAAUAAGGGCAAGAAGAAAAGCAAAUGAAAAUUAGAGAAGAUUAACGAUUACGUCAAAGGAAUUAAUCAUUUAAAUUACUCACCAAAAUCACGAUGUCGGUACUUGGUCACUUCGGGUUCUCCACAGUCGUCACUUCUUCUUCUUUUCAUUUUUCUCUUUGGAAGUGUCCAAAUCAAUAGAAAAGUA